GCGGGAAAGCCGAGGCCCGGUGCUGUAUUCUGCCGCCCAUUUUACCCGCGGGGAAGCUGAGGCCCAGUGCUGUUUAAUAUCUUACUCAUGUUCACUUGAUGAGAAAGUGACAGAUCUGAGACAAACCCAGUUCUAGAGGUUAUGACACCAGCCAUGGAAGAGCAGAGAGGCCAAUGAGGUGGGGAGGUUGGAAACAAAAGGCCUUCUCCACCCCAGCUUGACCAACCCAAAAGCUGGAAGGCAAGGAAGACCUAGAAAGGGACCAGCUUGACGAAGCUUCUGCUUUUGUGACUGUCUCCUAAUGACAGAAUUUAAGAGACACCAGAGGAUGGCACAUUUAUACUGAGCUUGCAGUUUCCUAAACAUGAAGAAGAUGAACGGCUCUCAGUUAAGCAGCACGGGUCAGAUAGGAGCUUGAAAUUGAAUAUUUGAGCUGACACGGGAGAGACAUACUUUUGAGAUUCCAAAUACGAUUUCUGUGGAGAAAACAAAAAAGGACUCUGUUUUUAAUUCAAAAGGGAGAAGUGAAAUUCUACCUCACUUUUUUAAAAGAAGAGCCUGGAAUUGGCCUAUCCGUCUUUUUCCCCGUUGGAUCACAGAGCAGAAAGGAAGGUGGGCGUUUGUGUUCUGGGUGUUGUCCACGCUGGACGUGCCAGCAUCUCCCACUGAGCCAGAUGUUCCAGGGCUAAGGCCAGUUUCAUUUGAAGGCACAGCCUUACUAUAUCAUGUGAGAAAACUGUGAUGCGGUCGACUGGCACCUAGCAUUGCCCCCAUCUGGAACAUCUGCAGCCUAGAUCUGUUCUGAUGAAGUAGAAGCCGCAGAUCUUAUCCUGAAACAGGCCAGGUGCAAGUGUCCUCUUAGAAGGGAUCAACCAUGGGAUGCGGCAUUAAGAGAAGAGAGAAGGACAUCCUUACAACUGUGCCUUUCUUUCAACUCAGUCGUGCGCAUUAGGCUUGUAUCAGUUAAAGUGCAGGCAAGAAAUUUCAAGCAGAAAGGGAGUCAGGUGCUCAUAGCAUUGCUGGCAGAAUUGAGAGCAGCGGGAGCCAUGGGAUGGGGGUGCUGCCUGGAAAUCAGGAAACUGGAGAAGCCUGCUGGAACCUGCUGAGGAACCCAUCACUGCAGCAAGAGACUGAUGGUGGACUGCAGGGGCCAGGAAGGUGCAGGAAGCCCCUGCUGCUGCAGGAGAAAGGAUGAAGGAUGGUUAUCUUCCACCUUCCAAAUCUCACAGGAACACCUCUUCUAGGUGGAAUCCAAACCAGAUUCCUUCUGGAAAGGGAUUCUGGAAAGUGUAGUUCUUAUGCUUCCAGCCUCUGAGAUAAGCAAGGACAAUUGCUGGAGGCGAGGGUGUCGCUGAAUACCAAGGAAGGAUAGCAGGUGUAGUUGCCCACAUGGCCACUCAGCAUCCACAUGGACAUCCCACCCAUGUUAAUUUCCAAAGAGCCAUCACAGAAACAUCAUCAUGCUUCCUCACAAAGAAGAAAUGCUCACCUCCACCCCAAUAGAAAGGGUCCAGGUAUCCAUCUCUGAGUGAUGGUCACCCUCCAUAUUCAGUAAAAAACACCCUCGGAUAGACUGUGGUUGAAAGACUAAACCUUUAGGUUAGCCACAGUCAAUAUAUCUUAUAUAAAAUAAGAGAGGCGGGGAGAGCAGGGGAAAGAGAUACUGGGUUAUGUGUGUAAAAACAUACACAAUAAAGCAAACAAGAAACGCU
This is a long non-coding RNA of Homo sapiens (human), 1712 nucleotides long. Ensembl annotates it as MIR646 host gene. Its record names the gene MIR646HG. The record is from Ensembl. Lineage: Eukaryota; Metazoa; Chordata; Mammalia; Primates; Hominidae.